This 373-nucleotide ribosomal RNA is filed under the name uncultured organism. RNAcentral describes it as "bacterial SSU rRNA". It matches the Rfam family "Bacterial small subunit ribosomal RNA", at positions 526 to 896 of the family's 1533-position model. The record is from RNAcentral.
CGUAGGGCGCAAGCGUUGUCCGGAUUUAUUGGGCGUAAAGAGCUCGUAGGCGGCUUGUUGCGUCGGCUGUGAAAACCCGCGGCUUAACCGCGGGCUUGCAGCCGAUACGGGCGGGCUGGAGUUCGGUAGGGGAGACUGGAAUUCCUGGUGUAGCGGUGAAAUGCGCAGAUAUCAGGAGGAACACCGGUGGCGAAGGCGGGUCUCUGGGCCGAUACUGACGCUGAGGAGCGAAAGCGUGGGGAGCGAACAGGAUUAGAUACCCUGGUAGUCCACGCUGUAAACGUUGGGCGCUAGGUGUGGGGAGCCUCUCCGGUUCUCUGUGCCGCAGCUAACGCAUUAAGCGCCCCGCCUGGGGAGUACGGCCGCAAGGCUA